This 552-nucleotide long non-coding RNA is filed under the name Nicotiana benthamiana. RNAcentral's name for it is "long non-coding RNA (NBEN_LNC021256)". Lineage: Eukaryota; Viridiplantae; Streptophyta; Magnoliopsida; Solanales; Solanaceae. The record is from RNAcentral.
AAUGAGGCCGAAGGAUAUGUUCCUGAAUAUGCAGAGACCAUCAAGCGUCUACAGGCAGCUGCAAGACAAGAAGUGCUUCCAAUGCCAGGGGUGGGCAAAGAGGAUUUGGACGACCCUCAAAAUUUACUCGUGGAAGGCGUCAUUGAUCGUGCUGAAGCUAUUGAAGCUGCCGAGAAAAAGCGCAAGGUACAAUUUAGAUGAGGGAUGAAGAAGAAGAUAAUCCUCAAAAUUUACUUGUGGAAGGCGUCAUUGACCGUGCUGAAGCUAUUGAAGCUGCCGAGAAAAAGCGCAAGGUACAAUUUUUGAUGAGGGAUGAAGAAGAAGAUAAGUGGUUUGAUUUGCCAUUUAAAAUAAAAAAGAUUAUCCCUGGUAUUGUAAUGAAAAACUCUGGAGCUGCAUUUGCUUGAAAUACGAACUAUUUUCAUGUUGCCUCACCUAGAAGAGCGGUGGCAUUUUACAUUUGCUUAGUGGUGUUUUAAUUCUAGAUACCUAUACCUAAUAGCUUUCAGCUGAAUUUUCAUUUCUCUUUAGUGCUACACAUUUUCUCCAGCC